CCAAGGGACGAUUGAAUUUUCUCAUUCCAUUAACAAAGGCGAGUAACGCCUUCUCUCAACAUUCAAUAGCCCAUGUUAUGAUCGCAAUAACGAUCAUUAACCCACUCUCUCCACUCCUUCGCAUUGAUUUCUUCAUACAGCCUUCCAUGUUCUAACAAAGUGGAGAUGCGUCUACUCCUAUUCUGGGAAACACGUAAUAAUGCAAAGAAAGUAGGAGAGCUUAUGGGGUUGACAUGCUCUUUGUCAAGGAGAAGACAGUCUACGCUCAUCCACCGACUGCAGAUGUUCAGAGACCGAUUCAGUGAAGUUUCACUCUAUUCGAUGAGUGGGUUCGACGAAGUAACAACAACUUCAAAGUUUGAAUUGCCUCUCCCCCCCCCCUCGCUAACUUAUACAACGAUCUCACGUCGUUUGGGUUUGCAUAUUCUAAAUCCAACGAUUCAACUUAUGUACAUAUUUUGGGUUUGUGUCAUUAAGUUGACAAUGCGCUGAUGACAGGUUUGUAAAUAUUUUAACUUAAUGCGACUUGCAAGGCAACCAACGUUUUAUGGCAACAGUUCAGAUUUACUCACCCAUUUUGUAUUUUGCAGGGAUGUCUUUAUCUGCCUAAGUUUAUUUGAUGGCUUAGCCUACGAAUUUCAUUUAAAAAAAUUACAUGUUUUGGUACCGAACCAAGCGUUGUUGUAGCUACAUCUAACUUCACCCACGCUCUGCAAGGAUCUCUCUAUCUGCCUGAGUUUAUUUGACAGCUUCACCUACGAAUUUCAAAAAAAAAUUCACCGGUUUCAAUGGCGAACUAAGGGUUGUUGUAGCGACAUACAGAAAUCCUAAAAUGGUCGGUUAUUUGCAAACGCAACCUCUCAGACGCAUAUAUGCUUUUACUCAUAAACAUAUGCAGAAAGGACAGUCUUACUAUGGGAGAAACUUGAAACUUGAAACUCUCACCGUCUCACAGCCGAAUGAAUUUAUCAUCACUGCAGCGCCUCAGACAAUCGACUUCGUAUGCACCGGCAAAGUUACUGGAAUACAAGCUGACAAAAGGUGGUGUUACAUAGGCUCUGCUCUAAGUGCACUAAAGAAGCUCCUGCGGGGUUAAUCUUCAUUCACAUGACAUGUGUGUGCUAACCCAAAAUGAUGUUACUUCACUCAGGUACUGUGUAAAGUUGUCCAUCUUAGAUGGGACCGAGGACGCGAAGAGAUGUCCAAGCUAACUAAAAGUCACCGCUGCGGAAGUGUGGUGAACUCAUGAGGAGGUAUUGAUGAUCAGCAGGCUAACGAGGCCCCACCUAUCAUCACUGAGUUAGUCGGAUGUACUUGCACUUUUCAGUUCAAGUUGAGUACUUUUAAUUUCACACCGAAGCAUCAGAGUUUCACAAUAUCAAGAAUUUUCACCGAAAGAGGUGGGACUCCCACAACCAAUAUGCAUGAACCCACCUCACUUGCCUCCACCUCUGCUGAAGUCGGCAACAAUAAUGCCAAGGAGACAUCGAGUGUUAAAGUCGCAGCAUUGGGGGAACUCCCUUACGUGGAUGUCUCCAAAACCGAUAAUCCUAAGCUCAAGAUAAACGAGCCUAGAAAGCCCGGACAGCCGUACUGAUUAGAUGAAUAUGGAAGCCUUAUAUUGUCAUGUUGCUGUGGUUUAUUUAUCAGUCAUUGCUUUUCUAUUUUGUUUUUUCAAACUAUUACAUAUGUUGGUUACAUUAAGCGCACUAUUAAUAUAAACAUAU
Molecule: RNA transcript, 1727 nt
Organism: Brassica oleracea var. oleracea
Lineage: Eukaryota; Viridiplantae; Streptophyta; Magnoliopsida; Brassicales; Brassicaceae
Exons: 9
Source: RefSeq, a predicted model, not a curated record